Molecule: non-coding RNA, 112 nt
Organism: Acanthosepion pharaonis
Lineage: Eukaryota; Metazoa; Mollusca; Cephalopoda; Sepiida; Sepiidae
Source: the annotation of a GenBank genome assembly
AUGGCCACAUCAUGUUGAAACACCAGUUCUUGUAUGAUCACCAAAGUUAAGCAAUGUUGACCAUGGUCAGUACUUACAUGGCUGAUCACUUGGGAAUACUAGGUGCUGUAAG